RNAcentral lists this long non-coding RNA (1455 nucleotides) under Notechis scutatus (mainland tiger snake). RNAcentral describes it as "lncRNA (ENSNSUG00000001123.1)". The record is from RNAcentral. Lineage: Eukaryota; Metazoa; Chordata; Lepidosauria; Squamata; Elapidae.
AUUCUCCUGCAUCGACGCUCCUCCUCCUCCUCUGCCUCUUGCUGCCGGCUUUCCCUCGGCAGUUCGGGAUAGAGGAAGUUGGCCAGACUCCUUUCCUUUUGAGCCAAGGCAUGGGCUGCUUGGGAGGAGUGGAGCCGGCUUGGGAAGGAGUACGACAAAAAGAGGGAAAAUAUGGACAUGGAAAAGCCCAGAGACUUUGGCAGUCUCCGAGCAAUGUUUCAAAAUGAUUCCAAUUUUUCCAAUAUGCUCCUGGAGUCUGCAAAGAAGCCUACUACCAAAUUCAGUCCACGGCAAAAUACCGGUGGCUCGUCUGUGUCUCGUCCCACGCCAAAACCCUUGAACCAAAGGCAGGUUCCAGAUCCUGAACAGCAAACCAAGCAAUUCAGUUACACGUCACAGAAACUGGAACUCAGGCAAGUCAAGCCUAUGAUAUUCCUAAAGGUCAAGCUCAAAGAUAGGAAGGACCCCAACCUCUCUGGGGCCAUUUGCAAGCCACCUUCAUUGGGGGAAGAAUUACAGAAACCACAUCCAAGACCUCAAGGGUCUGAAGGAGCAAACAGUUCUUUUCGCAACACACUGCACAUUUGGGAAAGUGCCUCAGCACAAGGUGACUGGAAAUGUGGUGCAACACCACCACAGCAUACAAUCAGGACAACUUCUCUUUCCCACCCAAAAGUUGUUAAUGUUGCGAUUUCGACAGAGGACAAAGCAAAAAUAGCUGGACUUAAGCAAGGGGUGGUUCUUGAUGUGUGUAAGCCUUCAUCCCCCGUACACAAUGAAUUUGUUCCUACAAUUUCACCUCCAGUUCCUCCAAGAAGUCAUGCAAGCUUAAAUAAAGUGGUUGCUGGUUUUUCUCCAAGUAGUUCGAACAAUUUGAACAGUCUAAGCAAGGUCUCAAAUGAAAGAUGUCCUGAUGAUGAAGAUACCAAGCUUCCAAAAAUCAAGCUCCUCCCUUCUAUCAAAGAGCUUGGUCCUCCUCCAAAGAAGCCACUAAGACCUCCCAAGGUAGAUCUUGCUGCCUUCCAACAGAAUUGUCCAGAUAAUCCAGAUGAUGCAUACUUGACUCCUGAAAUUACUGAACUGGAAGAUUUGAACACCUAUGAAGAAACCAUAUACUACCAGGAACAGCAAGAGAACUGUCCUAAUUUUGUUCAACGGCCUAUACAUUCUUUCAAGUCUUUGAAAAAGGAAGAUACUAAGAUUUGCAGUCCCAGAACUAUAUUCAUGAAAGCCCAAAUCGGAGGGAAUGAGAAGAGCAUGCCUCAAGAGGAAACAAAUCAGUGUUUCUCUGGAGAAGGAUUGGCAAAGGAUGGAGAUUUUUCAGAUGAUUAUGUAUGCCUGGAAUCUUUAAGAACCGAUGAAAGGAAGUGGAACCCAGAUCUAAGAAUUGCUACAUUGGAGCAAGCUGCAGAGCAAGUGUAUGAUGAUGUGGAAGGAAUAGAGAGAGACCUGUAA